GUUUUAAUAGUUUAAUUAAAAAUAAUGGUCUUGUAAACCAUAGAUAGAAAUGAUCUUUAAAACU
RNAcentral lists this transfer RNA (64 nucleotides) under Quernocoris caliginosus. RNAcentral's name for it is "tRNA-Thr". It matches the Rfam family "tRNA". Rfam says of the family: Transfer RNA (tRNA) molecules are approximately 80 nucleotides in length. Their secondary structure includes four short double-helical elements and three loops (D, anti-codon, and T loops). Further hydrogen bonds mediate the characteristic L-shaped molecular structure. tRNAs have two regions of fundamental functional importance: the anti-codon, which is responsible for specific mRNA codon recognition, and the 3' end, to which the tRNAs corresponding amino acid is attached (by aminoacyl-tRNA synthetases). tRNAs cope with the degeneracy of the genetic code in two manners: having more than one tRNA (with a specific anti-codon) for a particular amino acid; and 'wobble' base-pairing, i.e. permitting non-standard base-pairing at the 3rd anti-codon position. Lineage: Eukaryota; Metazoa; Arthropoda; Insecta; Hemiptera; Miridae. The record is from RNAcentral.